Molecule: non-coding RNA, 2269 nt
Organism: Paramuricea clavata
Lineage: Eukaryota; Metazoa; Cnidaria; Anthozoa; Malacalcyonacea; Plexauridae
Source: the annotation of a GenBank genome assembly
AGUGAAAAUACGGUCAUAGUACAUAGUACACACUGGGGAAUAUCGUUGUAUUUCCGCGAUAUUACCCUUUGAUUACCGUGAAUAUUGUAGUCCCUAGAGGAAUUUCAACUUUUGUAUAUGUGGAUAAAUUGGUAAGUGAGAAUCGAGAUCGAAAGCUCAGUUUUCUUAAACACUUUUGUGUUUUUAAUUGUGUUUUAUUGUUUAUAGUGUAUAUAAAGAAUUAAUUUGACGAUUACAAUAUUUUUGAAUUGAUUUAACUGUUGAAAUAAACCGUAAAAAGCAAUCAUACGUACACUAUCACAUAUUUAUAUGAAAAGUAUAAUAAAUUUUAAAGCACAGUUAAAAAAUAAUCCUUAUUGUACAUUUGUACGUGUAGUGGAUAAAUAUUUUACGUGACAUAAACAGAAUAUUUCAUCAACAUAAUUGAACAGUUUUAUGUUUUAAUAUCGUGAAAUCAAGACAAUUAGAAUAAAUCAUAAGAAGAUAUAAAUUAAUAUUGUUAACAUAAGUAUUUUCCCAAAGACUGAAAGCUUCAUUCAAAGACUAAAAUAUAAAGCAAACGAAAGCUGACAGCUGUUUUCAGGAAUUUCAGCCAUAUAGCCUGAAGUAGAACAUUUUACACCAAUGACGCAAUCAUAUAUAAAUAAUUUGAUCCAUAUUUUAUGCUGCAUUUAACCCAUUGGCCAUUGAGUGCGAGCACUCUUCCCUUGACAAGUAAAAUAGUCUGGCGUUAGACAGAGUAAUAAUAUGGCAUUGGGCAGAGUUAGGCUACGUUCACACGUACUAUAGCGGAUAUAGCUUUCCAUAGCAACACGGAAAAGCAUGGCCUAUCCGAUACUGAAUGUACAACUCUCUGUUGCAAUAAUGCCUCUGAAAAUAGCGUUCCUAAAAGGUACUACACUGUGAAGUUGUGGAUAGGUGAUUUUUCAUGUCACUAUGGAAAGCUACCUGGUAUAGUAUAAACACACAGCUUAAAAUUAAGUAAAAUAGGGUGCAUUAUGGAGCAUUGCAACUUAAUGGGUUAACCCAUUAAGCUACAGAGCUUCCCCAUUGACGAGUAUAAUCGUCUGGCGUUAUAUAGACAAGUAAAAAAAAGUAGGGCGCACUGGGGUGCAUUGCGGCCCAAUGGGUUAACUAGAGACAUUGUCAGAUCUUUUGGUUAACCCAUUAAGCUGCAGAGCUUCCUCAUUGACGAGUAAAAUCAUCUGGCGUUAGACAAGUGGGGCACAUUGCGGCUCAAUGGGUUAAAUUAAGGACCAUCUCUCUUUGGUCUAGUGUUGCUGCACGAGAAGCCUAAACUUUAUCGAUACUAGAUAAGCACUGUCUAAUAUACUUUCAUUCAGAAAAUACCAUUUCAGAGGGCGCUUUCCAUUUAAUGGCCUGACCGAUCAGACCCAAAUUUUUUUCCCUGUAUCAAUGGAAAGAUCUGUUGUAUGUUUCUCAAAUAUCUAGCAAAAAUGGACCUCAUUCUAAUGUUAUCAAGAUUUUCCAGUCAGAUAGGUCCGAAGCCUAAAUGUUUUGUGUUUCAUUCAACAAUUUAACCGGUCUGGCCGUGUUAAUGGAAAGCGCCCAGAGACUCAACUGAGUCAAUUCUAUUAAAAAUUGCCCCUCACUGGAUCAAAUCAGCUUACAACUAGUACUUAAUUAACCUGGGUAGGACGGUAUAGAAUAUGCAUGUGAUGAUUACGUUUUAACGCAAUAUGUUAAUUAAAAAUUGAUGCGUGAAGUGUGCCAAAUAUUAAUGGUUUUAACAAACUUUGGGUGCAGAUGUAACAUGUUAGGUUGUAAAUUAUCAUUAAAAAUCAAAACGACUGACGUCACGUAGAUUGUUGAAUGAAUAAUCAAGUAGAUUGUUGAAUGAAUAAUCAGUAAUUUCUGAUUGCAGCACAAAUUUAGUCAGUCAGUCACUUGGAAACAUUCAGCUAAUUCACACAUAUUCACACACAAACCAUGCACAGUAGCUCAAUUAAUUUGCAUACCUUAGGAUAAAACCAAUAACACCAAAAUCAACCUGAGCCAAGAACGCACUAGCUCACAACUGAGAGACAUGGAAGUAACGAGAGAGGUGAUGUCAUCAUAUUGGACGGAACAUUCCAAGAAACAGAGCAUUGAAGAAAUGAUGUUGGAUGAAGAUGCGAGUAAAAUAACAAAACAUGAACAUCCCGAGGUCUUGAGUCUCCUUCCUGAUCUCAAAGGGAAGAAGAUUCUUGAACUAGGAGCAGGAAUCGGGUAGGUGUAAUUCAUUCCUAAAUCACAGCAACCACUGUCA